AACGAACGCUGGCGGCAUGCCUAACACAUGCAAGUCGAACGAGACCUUCGGGUCUAGUGGCGCACGUCUGCGUAACGCGUGGGAACCUGCCCUUAGGUUCGGAAUAACUCCCCGAAAGGGGUGCUCAUACCGGUUAAUGUCUUCGGACCAAAGAUUUAUCGCCUUUGGAUGGGCCCGCGUUGGAUUAGCUAGUUGGUAGGGUAAAAGCCUACCAAGGCGACGAUCCAUAGCUGGUCUGAGAGGAGGAUCAGCCACACUGGGACUGAGACACGGCCCAGACUCCUACGGGAGGGAGCAGUGGGGAAUAUUGGAAAAUGGGCGAAAGCCUGAUCCAGCAAUGCCGCGUGAGUGAUGAAGGCCUUAGGGUUGUAAAGCUGUUUUACCCGGGAUGAUAAUGACAGUACCGGGAGAAUAAGCUCCGGCUAACUCCGUG
Molecule: ribosomal RNA, 433 nt
Filed under: uncultured bacterium
Lineage: Bacteria
Description: partial 16S ribosomal RNA
Rfam family: Bacterial small subunit ribosomal RNA
Source: RNAcentral